This 520-nucleotide long non-coding RNA is filed under the name Hordeum vulgare. RNAcentral describes it as "long non-coding RNA (HVUL_LNC007364)". Lineage: Eukaryota; Viridiplantae; Streptophyta; Magnoliopsida; Poales; Poaceae. The record is from RNAcentral.
UAUGGUUGAGAGCUGCCUCAGCAUAUCACUGAUGAAUUUUACUGGCUCUUUGUCACCCCACACAACCUUGAUGGUGAAUAAGCCGCCACCAUAGAGUUCCUCUGUAUGGGUAUAUAGCGCUUACAACUUCAACACGCAGUAAUCUUGAAGAUUGGCGGAUCGAGGGCCUACAAGGAACAAAUGAAACAUACAUUGCUUGGCGCUUUGUGUCCUUUCCAAUGGUUGCAACGGACAAUACAGAAAAUACUUACCAAAGACAACACUUGUCAUCUUGGAGAUGUGUCGUCGCAGACAAGUCAAUUUUUCCGUAACCAGUUUCAAUUGACCCUCAACAUUUUCAGCACGUUUCAACAGAGCGACUUUGUCAGCUUUAGCCGAAUCUCUGUAUAAUAUGUGCUCAGCCUUGGCUUUUUCAUGUUCUGCCAGAGAGACUCGAAGUUUUUCCUCAGCAGCAGCCUUGGCGUCUUGUUGACUUCCCAAGCUUUUCUUCCUACCACUUAAGGAUGAGUCAUCCUGGCUU